This 253-nucleotide ribosomal RNA is filed under the name uncultured bacterium. Its description in RNAcentral is "partial 16S ribosomal RNA". It matches the Rfam family "Bacterial small subunit ribosomal RNA", at positions 524 to 776 of the family's 1533-position model. The record is from RNAcentral.
UACGAAGGGGGCUAGCGUUGUUCGGAUUUACUGGGCGUAAAGCGCACGUAGGCGGAUCUUUAAGUCAGAGGUGAAAUCCCAAGGCUCAACCUUGGAACUGCCUUUGAUACUGGGGAUCUUGAGUCCGGGAGUGGUGAGUGGAACUGCGAGUGUAGAGGUGAAAUUCGUAGAUAUUCGCAAGAACACCAGUGGCGAAGGCGGCUCACUGGCCCGGUACUGACGCUGAGGCACGAAAGCGUGGGGAGCAAACAGG